RNAcentral lists this ribosomal RNA (513 nucleotides) under uncultured bacterium. Its description in RNAcentral is "partial 16S ribosomal RNA". It matches the Rfam family "Bacterial small subunit ribosomal RNA", at positions 28 to 507 of the family's 1533-position model. The record is from RNAcentral.
GACGAACGCUGGCGGCGUGCUUAACACAUGCAAGUCGAACGAAAAGAGGGAAAGAGCUUGCUCUUUCCGGAAUUGAGUGGCAAACGGGUGAGUAACACGUAAACAACCUGCCUUCAGGAUGUGGACAACAGACGGAAACGACUGCUAAUACCGAAUAAGUUCCAAGGGCCGCAUGGCCCAUGGAAGAAAAGGUGGCCUCUACCUGUAAGCUAUCGCCUGAAGAGGGGUUUGCGUCUGAUUAGCUGGUUGGAGGGGUAACGGCCCACCAAGGCGACGAUCAGUAGCCGGUCUGAGAGGAUGAACGGCCACACUGGAACUGAGACACGGUCCAGACUCCUACGGGAGGCAGCAGUGGGGAAUCUUCCGCAAUGGGCGAAAGCCUGACGGAGCAACGCCGCGUGAGUGAUGACGGCCUUCGGGUUGUAAAACUCUGUGAUCCGGGACGAAAAGGCAGAGUGCGAAGAACAAACUGCAUUGACGGUACCGGAAAAGCAAGCCACGGCUAACUACGUG